RNAcentral lists this ribosomal RNA (405 nucleotides) under uncultured bacterium. Its description in RNAcentral is "partial 16S ribosomal RNA". It matches the Rfam family "Bacterial small subunit ribosomal RNA", at positions 30 to 526 of the family's 1533-position model. The record is from RNAcentral.
AUUGAACGCUGGCGGCAUGCUUAACACAUGCAAGUAGAACGAGUGGCGGACGUGUGUGUAAUGCUUGGGAAUCUAGCUUAUGGAGGGGGAUAACUACGGGAAACUGUAGCUAAUACCGCGUACCAUAGGAGGAGCCCAAGUGGGAUUAGGUAGUUGGUGUGGUAAAGGCUAACCAAGCCGACGAUCUCUAGCUGGUCUGAGAGGAUGACGAGCACACUUGGGAUUGAGACACGGCCCAGACGCCUAGGGGAGGAAGCAGUGGGGAAUAUUGCGAAAUGGGGGCAACCUGACGCAGCCAUGCCGCGUGAAUGAAGAAGGCCUGCGGGUUGUAAAGUUCUUUCGGUAGCGAGGCGUUAACUAAAGAAGAAGCACCGGCUAACUACGUGCCAGCAGCCGCGGUAAUUC